RNAcentral lists this ribosomal RNA (418 nucleotides) under uncultured eukaryote. Its description in RNAcentral is "bacterial SSU rRNA". It matches the Rfam family "Eukaryotic small subunit ribosomal RNA", at positions 592 to 1018 of the family's 1831-position model. The record is from RNAcentral.
CAAUAGCGUAUAUUAAAGUUGUUGCGGUUAAAAGCUCGUAGUUGGAUUUCUGCCGAGGACGACCGGUCCGCCCUGUGGGUGAGCAUCUGGAUCGGCCUGGGCAUCUUCUUGGGGAACGUAGCUGCACUUCACUGUGUGGCACAUGAUCCAGAACUUUUACUUUGAGGAAAUGAGAGUGUUUCAAGCAGGCGCCUGUCGUGAAUACGUUAGCAUGGAAUAAUAGCAUGGGACCGCGGUCUGAAGCUGUUGGUUUUUGGGCCGUGGUAUAAAAAUAGGGAUAGUUGGGGGUAUUCGUAUUUAACUGUCAGAGGUGAAAUUCUUGGAUUUUUAAAGUACGGUACUACUGCGAAAGCAUCUGCCAGGAUGUUUUAUUGAUCAAGACGAAAGUUAGGGGAUCGGAAGAUAGGUCAGAUACCAU